RNAcentral lists this transfer RNA (97 nucleotides) under Candidatus Bathyarchaeota archaeon. RNAcentral describes it as "tRNA-Val". It matches the Rfam family "tRNA". Rfam says of the family: Transfer RNA (tRNA) molecules are approximately 80 nucleotides in length. Their secondary structure includes four short double-helical elements and three loops (D, anti-codon, and T loops). The record is from RNAcentral. Lineage: Archaea; Thermoproteati; Candidatus Bathyarchaeota.
GGGCCGGUCGUCUAGUCUGGAUGCGUGUAUGCAGGAAAGUUAGGAUACCUGCCUGACACGCAGGUGGUCGAGGGUUCAAGUCCCUCCCGGCCCACCA